This 116-nucleotide ribosomal RNA is filed under the name Paenibacillus sp. P46E. RNAcentral describes it as "partial 23S ribosomal RNA". It matches the Rfam family "Bacterial large subunit ribosomal RNA", at positions 2804 to 2925 of the family's 2925-position model. The record is from RNAcentral. Lineage: Bacteria; Bacillati; Bacillota; Bacilli; Caryophanales; Paenibacillaceae.
AUGAGAUUUCCCAGUAUGUAAGACCCCUUGAAGACGACGAGGUAGAUAGGUUGGAGGUGGAAGCACGGUAACGUGUGGAGCUGACCAAUACUAAUCGGUCGAGGGCUUAUCCAAAU